Molecule: long non-coding RNA, 289 nt
Filed under: Elaeis guineensis (African oil palm)
Lineage: Eukaryota; Viridiplantae; Streptophyta; Magnoliopsida; Arecales; Arecaceae
Description: long non-coding RNA (EGUI_LNC003536)
Source: RNAcentral
AAUCUUGCAUAUGACUAACGAAGGGGUCUGACAAGUUCUCUAUGACCUCUGUCAAUUUGAGACUCACGAUUGAAUGACUGAAUCAUACGAUAACUGCACCUAGAGAUUCGUUCUUUCAUUCUACUAGAUUGUCACUACAUACUGCUAGGUAUCACUGGUGGAUUGUGAGACUCAUCGGACGUCGUCUUGAUGAUCGAUGGCCCUCGUAAGGUAGAAUUGAAAAUAUUCUUAUCCAUCGAAAAGUGUUUCGAUGAUAUUAUAAUAGAGAUCACAAUAUAUCUCGCUACCA